This 164-nucleotide ribosomal RNA is filed under the name Brickellia subuligera. RNAcentral describes it as "5.8S ribosomal RNA". It matches the Rfam family "5.8S ribosomal RNA". Rfam says of the family: 5.8S ribosomal RNA (5.8S rRNA) is a component of the large subunit of the eukaryotic ribosome. It is transcribed by RNA polymerase I as part of the 45S precursor that also contains 18S and 28S rRNA. Functionally, it is thought that 5.8S rRNA may be involved in ribosome translocation. The record is from RNAcentral. Lineage: Eukaryota; Viridiplantae; Streptophyta; Magnoliopsida; Asterales; Asteraceae.
UAAAUGACUCUCGGCAACGGAUAUCUCGGCUCACGCAUCGAUGAAGAACGUAGCAAAAUGCGAUACUUGGUGUGAAUUGCAGAAUCCCGUGAACCAUCGAGUUUUUGAACGCAAGUUGCGCCCGAAGCCACUUGGUUGAGGGCACGUCUGCCUGGGCGUCCCGC